RNAcentral lists this ribosomal RNA (441 nucleotides) under uncultured bacterium. Its description in RNAcentral is "partial 16S ribosomal RNA". It matches the Rfam family "Bacterial small subunit ribosomal RNA", at positions 338 to 795 of the family's 1533-position model. The record is from RNAcentral.
CCUACGGGAGGCAGCAGUGGGGAAUAUUGCACAAUGGUGGAAACCCUGAUGCAGCAACGCCGCGUGAGUGAAGAAGGUUCUCGGAUUGUAAAGCUUCUUUAGCAGGGAAAAGGAAGGACGGUAGCUGCACAGGAAGCCACUGCUUACUACGUGCGAGCAGCCGCGGUAAUAAGUAGGGGGCAAGCGGUGUUCGGAAUAACUGGGCGUAAAGGAUUCGUAGGCGGUUAAACAAGUUAUAUGGUAAAUAUAUAGGCUGAACCUGGAGAAAGCAUAUAAAACUGUUUAACUAGAGUGCAGGAGAGGUAAGUGGAAUGCGUGGUGUAGCGGUGAAAUGCGUAGAGAUUAGGAAGAACACCAGUGGCGAAGGCGACAUACUGGACUGUAACUGACGCUGAGGCAUGAGAGCAUGGGGAGCGAACAGGAUUAGAUACCCCAGUAGUC